This 989-nucleotide ribosomal RNA is filed under the name uncultured Sedimentibacter sp. Its description in RNAcentral is "bacterial SSU rRNA". It matches the Rfam family "Bacterial small subunit ribosomal RNA", at positions 507 to 1502 of the family's 1533-position model. Lineage: Bacteria; Bacillati; Bacillota; Tissierellia. The record is from RNAcentral.
GCCAGCAGCCGCGGUAAUACGUAGGGGGCUAGCGUUGUCCGGAUUUACUGGGCGUAAAGGGUGAGUAGGCGGUAAUGUGUGUCAGAUGUUUAAUCUAUGAGCUCAACUCAUAUCAGCAUUUGAAACUACAUAACUUGAGUGCAGGAGAGGUAAGUGGAAUUCCUAGUGUAGCGGUGGAAUGCGUAGAUAUUAGGAGGAACACCGGUGGCGAAGGCGACUUACUGGACUGUAACUGACGCUGAGUCACGAAAGCGUGGGGAGCGAACAGGAUUAGAUACCCUGGUAGUCCACGCUGUAAACGAUGAGUGCUAGGUGUUGGCUGAGAAGUCAGUGCCGAAGUAAACGCAAUAAGCACUCCGCCUGGGGAGUACGGUCGCAAGACUGAAACUCAAAGGAAUUGACGGGGACCCGCACAAGCAGCGGAGCAUGUGGUUUAAUUCGACGCAACGCGAAGAACCUUACCAAGGCUUGACAUCCCCUUGACAGAUGCAGAGAUGUGUCCUCUCCUUCGGGAGCAAGGGAGACAGGUGGUGCAUGGUUGUCGUCAGCUCGUGUCGUGAGAUGUUGGGUUAAGUCCCGCAACGAGCGCAACCCUUGUCAUUAGUUGCCAGCAGAAGAUGGGCACUCUAAUGAGACUGCCGGUGAUAAACCGGAGGAAGGUGGGGAUGACGUCAAAUCAUCAUGCCCCAUAUGUCUUGGGCUACACACGUGCUACAAUGGUCGGAACAAAGGGAAGCGAAGGAGCGAUCCGGAGCAAAACCUCAUAAACCGAUCCCAGUUCGGAUUGCAGGCCGCAACUCGCCUGCAUGAAGUCGGAGUUGCUAGUAAUCGCGAAUCAGAACGUCGCGGUGAAUGCGUUCCCGGGUCUUGUACACACCGCCCGUCACACCAUGGAAGUUGAUAAUACCCAAAGUCGAUGAGCUAACCGUAAGGAGGCAGUCGCCUAAGGUAGGAUCAAUGACUGGGGUGAAGUCGUAACAAGGUAACCA